GUGCACCAGUCGAGAAAUCUCUCCAAUGUGUGAAAACAUGAGAGGGGUAUUCCAAGUUCCCUUGUUAUGCAAGGGAUUUUCUUUGGUCCAAGACGCCAAAGGAAUAAGAGCUGGGUAAGACCGGUGCCAGCCGCCGCGGUAACACCGGCAGCUCGAGUGGUGGCCACUAUUAUUGGGCCUAAAAGCGUUCGUAGCCGGGCAGGUAAGUGCUCUGGUAAAAUCCCAUAACUUAAUUAUGGGGCUUCAGAACAUACUGCCUGCCUUGAGACCGGGAGAGGCUGGAGGUACUUUCGGGGUAGGGGUAAAAGUCCUAUAAAUCCCGAAGGGACCACCGGUGGCGAAGGCGUCCAGCCAGAAC
This 358-nucleotide ribosomal RNA is filed under the name uncultured microorganism. RNAcentral's name for it is "bacterial SSU rRNA". It matches the Rfam family "Archaeal small subunit ribosomal RNA", at positions 330 to 686 of the family's 1478-position model. The record is from RNAcentral.